Molecule: long non-coding RNA, 492 nt
Organism: Lontra canadensis (Northern American river otter)
Lineage: Eukaryota; Metazoa; Chordata; Mammalia; Carnivora; Mustelidae
Exons: 2
Source: RefSeq, a predicted model, not a curated record
GCCCCGCCCCGCCCCGGCUCCGCCCCUCUCCCCGCCCUCCCGCCCGCGAACCGCCCCUCCCCCCCAGAGCCUAGCUCCAAAUAGCGUCGGCUAUAUCCGGGCCGUAGAAAGAAUCGCUAGCGGCGGCUCCGGCAGCUUCCGAAAACACCCGAAGCGAGGAUUUCACCGGCUUCCCAGGCUAUCGUAACUUUUCGGAAACUAGCUCUUCAACGUUCGGGUGUUUCCGUAGAUUCGACCCGCUCUUCGCUGCCGGCCCUAUCCAAGCAAUCGGCUACUUCCGACAAUCCUAAACGUCCCGCACUUCUGCGCUUUCUGAAGGUUUCCAGCGCUGGGUCUGGGAUCCAGCCAGAGGAUUAAACCCGAUGCCAAGCUUCGGCUCUCUCCGGACAGUGCACUCACUCCUCCCCAGCCGGUGAACUUCGGCUCCUUCCGCCACCGCUUCGUGAAGGCCUCACUCACGGGAGACAGCUUCGGUUUUUUCCGUCGGCGCUU